Molecule: ribosomal RNA, 301 nt
Filed under: uncultured bacterium
Lineage: Bacteria
Description: partial 16S ribosomal RNA
Rfam family: Bacterial small subunit ribosomal RNA
Source: RNAcentral
CAGUAGCCACGGGAAUACGAAGGGGGCUAGCGUUGUUCGGAAUUACUGGGCGUAAAGCGCACGUAGGCGGAUAUUUAAGUCAGGGGUGAAAUCCCGCAGCUCAACUGCGGAACUGCCUUUGAUACUGGGUAUCUUGAGUAUGGAAGAGGUUAGUGGAAUUGCGAGUGUAGAGGUGAAAUUCGUAGAUAUUCGCAGGAACACCAGUGGCGAAGGCGGCUAACUGGUCCAUAACUGACGCUGAGGUGCGAAAGCGUGGGGAGCAAACAGGAUUAGAUACCCCAGUAGUCCCUGUCUCUUAUAC